CCUACGGGUGGCAGCAGUGGGGAAUAUUGCACAAUGGGCGAAAGCCUGAUGCAGCAACGCCGCGUGAAGGAAGACGGUUUUCGGAUUGUAAACUUCUGUUCUCAGUGAAGAAUAAUGACGGUAAUGAAGGAGCAAGCCACGGCUAACUACGUGCCAGCAGCCGCGGUAAUACGUAGGUGGCAAGCGUUGUCCGGAAUUACUGGGUGUAAAGGGAGGGUAGGCGGGAGGCCAAGUCAGCUGUGAAAACUACGGGCUUAACCUGUAGACUGCAGUUGAAAAUGGCUUUCUUGAGUGAAGUAGAGGUAAGCGGAAUUCCGGGUGUAGCGGUGAAAUGCGUAGAUAUUCGGAGGAACACCGGUGGCGAAGGCGGCCAACUGGACUUUAACUGACGCUGAGGCUCGAAGGUGUGGGGAGCAAACAGGAUUAGAUACCCUAGUAGUC
This 441-nucleotide ribosomal RNA is filed under the name uncultured bacterium. RNAcentral's name for it is "partial 16S ribosomal RNA". It matches the Rfam family "Bacterial small subunit ribosomal RNA", at positions 338 to 795 of the family's 1533-position model. The record is from RNAcentral.